GUCUCGGUAGCUCAGUUGGAUAGAGCACAAGGUUCCUAACCUUGGGGUCAGAGGUUCGAAUCCUCUUCGGGACACCA
This 77-nucleotide transfer RNA is filed under the name Woeseiaceae bacterium. RNAcentral describes it as "tRNA-Arg". It matches the Rfam family "tRNA". From Rfam's summary of the family: Transfer RNA (tRNA) molecules are approximately 80 nucleotides in length. Their secondary structure includes four short double-helical elements and three loops (D, anti-codon, and T loops). Further hydrogen bonds mediate the characteristic L-shaped molecular structure. tRNAs have two regions of fundamental functional importance: the anti-codon, which is responsible for specific mRNA codon recognition, and the 3' end, to which the tRNAs corresponding amino acid is attached (by aminoacyl-tRNA synthetases). tRNAs cope with the degeneracy of the genetic code in two manners: having more than one tRNA (with a specific anti-codon) for a particular amino acid; and 'wobble' base-pairing, i.e. permitting non-standard base-pairing at the 3rd anti-codon position. The record is from RNAcentral. Lineage: Bacteria; Pseudomonadati; Pseudomonadota; Gammaproteobacteria; Woeseiales; Woeseiaceae.